AUCCAGCUGAUGAGUCCCAAAUAGGACGAAACGCGCGUCGAACUGGAU
This 48-nucleotide non-coding RNA is filed under the name Schistosoma mansoni. Lineage: Eukaryota; Metazoa; Platyhelminthes; Trematoda; Strigeidida; Schistosomatidae. The record is from RNAcentral.